AUUUUCGGUGAAGAACAUGGGGAAGGUUUUGUGUUGUGUUGGAAAAGAAAGGGAGGCUUAUUCUAUUUGCACCGCGCAUUAUUUUGUUGCGGUACAAAAGACACAUUGCUCCGUAAAUGGUGUAGUAUGCGAA
This is a non-coding RNA of Caenorhabditis elegans, 133 nucleotides long. NCBI's taxonomy places the organism in Eukaryota, Metazoa, Nematoda, Chromadorea, Rhabditida, Rhabditidae. The record is from Ensembl.